UCCAAUCACAUUCAAAAAAUCUCUGUACCAGUACGAUACGUAAUUCGAGGCGUGACCCUCUGUACAGUUCGAUCUUAGCCGUUUAUUUUCUUUCUUACGGCCCGAUCUCAAUUUUCAUUUUGUCUCAUCUGCGGCAUUAACUAGGUUAUCUUAAUUACCGCCGUCUACUCAUCAUUAAAGCCAACCUCGAAACUCGCUUCGAUGCGACGAUUCGAUACGACGACCUUUCUUCUUCUCCAAGCUUUUACCUUUUUGUCUCUUCUACUCCUUCUUCGUCUUCUAGGAAACUCUUCUUUCGCUUCCCUUUCCUUCAUCUUUUUCGAUUUUAUUUUCCACUUAACUUUUCCUCUUUUCUUUUCGACUAAUGGCGUUGGUUCCGCCUCUUCCU
This 388-nucleotide long non-coding RNA is filed under the name Ananas comosus (pineapple). RNAcentral describes it as "long non-coding RNA (ACOM_LNC003213)". Lineage: Eukaryota; Viridiplantae; Streptophyta; Magnoliopsida; Poales; Bromeliaceae. The record is from RNAcentral.